UACGUAGGGGGCAAGCGUUGUCCGGAAUUAUUGGGCGUAAAGAGCGUGUAGGCGGCCAGAUAAGUCCGCUGUGAAAUCUCGAGGCUCAACUUCGAGCUGUCGGUGGAAACUAUCUGGCUAGAGUCCGGAAGAGGAGAAUGGAAUUCCUGGUGUAGCGGUGAAAUGCGCAGAUAUCAGGAAGAACACCCGUGGCGAAGGCGGUUCUCUGGGACGUGACUGACGCUGAGACGCGAAAGCGUGGGGAGCAAACAGG
This 253-nucleotide ribosomal RNA is filed under the name uncultured bacterium. RNAcentral describes it as "partial 16S ribosomal RNA". It matches the Rfam family "Bacterial small subunit ribosomal RNA", at positions 524 to 776 of the family's 1533-position model. The record is from RNAcentral.